Molecule: ribosomal RNA, 453 nt
Filed under: uncultured Mucilaginibacter sp.
Lineage: Bacteria; Pseudomonadati; Bacteroidota; Sphingobacteriia; Sphingobacteriales; Sphingobacteriaceae
Description: partial 16S ribosomal RNA
Rfam family: Bacterial small subunit ribosomal RNA
Source: RNAcentral
ACGGGAGGCAGCAGUGAGGAAUAUUGGUCAAUGGGCGGAAGCCUGAACCAGCCAUCUCGCGUGCAGGACUACGGCCCUACGGGUCUUAAACUGCUUUUAUGGGGGGAUAAAGUCGGGCAUGCGUGUCCGUUUGCAGGUACCCCAUGAAUAAGGAUCGGCUAACUCCGUGCCAGCAGCCGCGGUAAUACGGAGGAUCCGAGCGUUAUCCGGAUUUAUUGGGUUUAAAGGGUGCGUAGGCGGGAUGUUAAGUCAGCGGUGAAAGCGUGUAGCUCAACUAUACCAAGCCGUUGAAACUGGCGUUCUUGAGUGUAAACGAGGUAGGCGGAAUGUGACGUGUAGCGGUGAAAUGCUUAGAUAUGUCACAGAACCCCGAUUGCGAAGGCAGCUUACCAGCAUACAACUGACGCUGAGGCACGAAAGUGCGGGGAUCAAACAGGAUUAGAUACCCUGGUA